Molecule: small nuclear RNA, 106 nt
Organism: Callorhinus ursinus (northern fur seal)
Lineage: Eukaryota; Metazoa; Chordata; Mammalia; Carnivora; Otariidae
Source: RefSeq, a predicted model, not a curated record
GUGCUUGCUUUGGCAACACACAGACUAAAACUGGAACAACACAGAGAAGAUUAGCAUGGCCCUGCACAAGGAUGACAUGCAAAUUUGUGAAGCAUUCCCUAUUUUU